Molecule: ribosomal RNA, 834 nt
Filed under: Bacillus safensis
Lineage: Bacteria; Bacillati; Bacillota; Bacilli; Caryophanales; Bacillaceae
Description: bacterial SSU rRNA
Rfam family: Bacterial small subunit ribosomal RNA
Source: RNAcentral
CCCGCUCAGGACGAACGCUGGCGGCGUGCCUAAUACAUGCAAGUCGAGCGGACAGAAGGGAGCUUGCUCCCGGAUGUUAGCGGCGGACGGGUGAGUAACACGUGGGUAACCUGCCUGUAAGACUGGGAUAACUCCGGGAAACCGGAGCUAAUACCGGAUAGUUCCUUGAACCGCAUGGUUCAAGGAUGAAAGACGGUUUCGGCUGUCACUUACAGAUGGACCCGCGGCGCAUUAGCUAGUUGGUGGGGUAAUGGCUCACCAAGGCGACGAUGCGUAGCCGACCUGAGAGGGUGAUCGGCCACACUGGGACUGAGACACGGCCCAGACUCCUACGGGAGGCAGCAGUAGGGAAUCUUCCGCAAUGGACGAAAGUCUGACGGAGCAACGCCGCGUGAGUGAUGAAGGUUUUCGGAUCGUAAAGCUCUGUUGUUAGGGAAGAACAAGUGCGAGAGUAACUGCUCGCACCUUGACGGUACCUAACCAGAAAGCCACGGCUAACUACGUGCCAGCAGCCGCGGUAAUACGUAGGUGGCAAGCGUUGUCCGGAAUUAUUGGGCGUAAAGGGCUCGCAGGCGGUUUCUUAAGUCUGAUGUGAAAGCCCCCGGCUCAACCGGGGAGGGUCAUUGGAAACUGGGAAACUUGAGUGCAGAAGAGGAGAGUGGAAUUCCACGUGUAGCGGUGAAAUGCGUAGAGAUGUGGAGGAACACCAGUGGCGAAGGCGACUCUCUGGUCUGUAACUGACGCUGAGGAGCGAAAGCGUGGGGAGCGAACAGGAUUAGAUACCCUGGUAGUCCACGCCGUAAACGAUGAGUGCUAAGUGUUAGGGGGUUUCCG